AGUUCCUCCUGUGGCCGGGGCCCCAUCUGUUGGACAACCUGGAGCAGGAUUUGGAAUGGUGAGUGAUGACCUAUUCUAAAAAUUGUAAUUACAUUUCUAUGUUCUUUGCCAAAUCCCAAAUUAUCAAAUACUCCUACAGAAUAUAAUUCUCCCCAAAAUGCAGCAAACUUAAAAAGUUACCUGCUUCAGGCCUUAAGUGGCCUACCAUGUAGUUAUAAAAAUCAGUUAUAAAAUACUUAAAUUCUGCCACCAAAUUACAGUACAUUGUUAUGUCCCUUUUGGAAUAAUAUAUGCUAAUCGUAAUCUUAAUGCAAUGAAUCAAAAUCAGCCCUGAAUCACUAUACUAGGACUUUUCACUAAUCAGCAACUUUUAGGGCCAUAGAGAAACAAGUUUUUAUCUCUUCAAGAGUUAUGCUUGAAGAAGGUGAAUGAGCAGCAAGGCCUGGUUGGGAUGAGGAUGCUGUGUAGCCAUCCGGCCUGUAUCCCUGCUCAGGGACUCUCCCAUCUGACAGCCUCAACACCCAGAGGUCAAAAUAACAAAUUCCAGUUUUUCACCCACCUGGAAUCUUCAAAAAUUGUGAGAAGCAUAUAAAAAUCAUCCUUGUUGGGGUGUCACCCUGAUGACUCCACUGGGCUCUAAACAAGUCUUCCUUUUCAGCCUCCUGCUGGGACAGGCAUGCCCAUGAUGCCUCAGCAGCCAGUCAUGUUUGCACAGCCCAUGAUGAGGCCACCCUUUGGAGCCACAGCUGUACCUGGCACACAGGUCUGUCUCUUCAUGUAUACAGAUCAGUGACCUUAACCCCUAAGUAUAAGACUGUCAUGUGGUUAACUGUUUCAACGGUGUUUUUACCUAAUGUGCUUCUCAUACCUGUUGCUUCAGAAGUGAAGGAAUCAGAGAAGACAGAUUAGCAAGAGUGUGAGGUCUUGGGGGAAAGCUAACUGUCCUAAGGUCUGUUCUUCUUUUACUUAACUCAAAAUGGUACAGGAAAACAACCAGGCAUGUGAAUCAUCCAAGGCAUGCAUCCCGAGAAGUGAGUACUUCUGAUCCGUGGUUUUAUUAUGUGUUUCCAGAGUUAGCCAGAAAAGUUCAAGGCAUAGUCCUCCAGGCUGCCAACUCUGCCUAAUACUUGUGACAUCAACAGCAGUGAGUUUGCCAAACUGCAAAGUCUCAGGGAACCGUGCCAUAAGAAUCUCCUCUCUUCAAACAUCAGCCACGAGUUUGGGAAUCCCCAGGGCCACCAUCACUUCAGACUAGCUAGCUAUAAAUUUGAGGUUUUCCAUGACAAUCCUCAGAUUUGAUAAUUCUCUAGAAUGACUCCCAGAACUCAAAAAUGUGCCAAAUUUAGGAUCACAGUUUUCUUUGUAGUGAACAGAUACAAAUUAGAUGCAGCUAAAGAAAGAGAUCAUGAGUGACAUCUAUGAGAACUUCAAGCAUGAAACUUCUCUGGCCUCAGGGAUAUGUUUCUCUCCCAGCAUCAAUGUAUGACAAUACACACACAGUGUUGCAGCUCAGGAAGCUCACUCAAGCAUUAAGGUCCAGAGUUAUUGAGGCCUCAUUACAUAAAAAUGAUAGGUUGAAAAAAAAAAAGAAAAAAAGAGCGAGAUUGAGAAAGAGAAAUAUUAGAUAUGAGUUAGGUUCAAUUUCCAACCCUCCUCCUUCUGAAGAUCAGGUUGGCUUUAUGUGGUAGGUCUUUCUGGCAUGGCCCACCUCCAUGCUGAGUUAUUUUGUCAGCAUAAUCUAGGAAGAGCCCCUGGGAGUCACCUGGUUAGCAUAAUUUUAUCAGGCAGGUUGCAGGAGCCCAUCAUGAAAAGCAAAUUUUCUGUCACUCAGAAAAUCACAAAGAUUAGAGGUCACCUAGUAGGAUCCAGGACAAAGGGAAAAUGUGUCUUGAGGCAAAAUUCCUUACUAUGCCACCAUGUGCUCCCUCCGUUUACCAAGGUGUCAAAAUAUGCCCAAUAAAUGCACUUUGUUGAACUGCUGCUAAUACUCAUCGUACUGAUGAAUUAUUCUUUCUUGACUCCUCUGUUUAAUUAUCUGGCAAGGUAGAAACAUAUAUGUGGAACCAAGGAGAUCUUCACCAUUGAGAAAGUGACUUGGACAGAGUCAGCACCAAAUUAUAACUCUGGUAGCAGCACACCAAACAAACUGAACAAAAUAGCUCAAGUAGAGUUUACUGAUAUCAAUGUAUGGUUUCUUUCACUCCUAUAAUAUUUUUAAUUUAUUAAGUGGAUAUUUAUCUGUAGGAUACUUACUCUAGAAUUUCUGAGUAUACUCUAACCCCAUUUGCUUUCUUGAUCCGCAUCUAAAUCCAUCUUCUACUUGUUUCCCAAAUUUGCUUUCAACUUCUUCACUUUAAUGCCUCAAAAGCCACAGUGAUCAGGAGAAAAAAAUGGUGGUUGUUGAAAAAGACAACUUGGAAUAUGAGAAGCCCUAGCCUUCAUGGCCAUAACAACAUACUGACUUCAGGACAGGUUUUCUAGUCUGCUUGGAGACCAAGAAACCCUGCCUAGUGUUGUUUUUAUGGAGGGUAUGAGGAAGGUUUGGGACCUACUCAUGGGUUAAGUUUAACCUUGUAUGCUUAAAUUCUAAGAUGAAUCUCACUGUGGUUUCCUUGAUGGUUGAAUAGACCUGUGAAUAUUUAUCAUAUUUGAGGAAGACAGAAUGUUUCUGUUUUAAUGAACAAUGUUUUUGAAGUUGUUUUUUAGUCUUGUAUUUGGUGUGUUGAAAGCUUUAGAAAAAAAUUAAUAUAGAGAGAUAUAUGUGGAACCAAAGAGAUUUUAUUAAUAUAAUCUUAUUACUAAAAGUAAUUGUUUUUCUUGCAUAAUACCAUAUUUAGCAUCAAUUAUUUACCUAAUUUGGAAAAUAGAUGAUAUGAGAAUAUAUUGUUUUAAUCAGUAAUUGAAUUUAGAAUAAAUCAGGGAAUGGUAUAUCAGAUAAUUUUUACGUUUUCUAUUUCCAAGAAGCAUAAUAACCCCAGAGUAUAAAAUAAAAUGAGUUUGUAGCUUCAGAAUUCAUAGUAGUUUUAAUAUUAAUGAUGCCUGGACUAUCCCAAUAUUCAUUAAUUGGUUGAUAUUGAAACAUUGUCAUCUCACCUGAUUAUUAAUUGUGGACCAAUUCUACAGUUUCUUCCAAGCAAUUUCAAGGUUGGUGUUUAUUUUUUAUGAGAAUUCAAUUAAGCAUUAUCUCAGUUCUACAAAUGGAAAUUUGACAGAUAGAUAAUGCAGUAGUUUCUGGACAUAGGAACACAUCUGAAAAUCCUUAAUUCUGGAGCUCUGCUUCCUGAACCAAUAAAAACAUAUACCCUGCCCCAAAGUCCCAGAGUUCUGAAAUUCCUAUCAUCUUACAAGCAUGGGAAAUUAAUUAGAUUCAAAGGAUAGAUGUCAGGUAUUACUCUAGACAGAGUGAGUGAGAUUUUUUUAAGGUCUUUACCCUGACAUUCCUGCAGAAGCCUGCUUCCAGAAAUUAUUUCUGUCACAGAUGAAAAUCAUUUAGUUAUUGGUUCAAUAGAAGCAAAAUGAGUUAAUUCUUUUUCCUUUUACUACAAGUCCCAUAUGUUUCUUUCCUGUAAUUAUUUAGCCUUCUCUGUGAGCUGGACAGGUGGGACUGGGAUUAGAACUCAGUGGUGUUCACAAAUAGAACCCUAAAAUAAUUUAUGUGAAAUCUUAGCAUAUUUAGUUAAUAAUAUUAAGUAAUUUCAUAAGUGGCUGUCUGCAAACUUUCCUUUCAAUUUUCCUUUCAAACUGAUUGUCACUGUGAAAAAAGCCAUUUAAAUUUCUUUAUUAGUUUAGUAGUACUAAUAACUCAAAGUAAAAGUGUUUUUAUAGAAAAAAUGAUCACUUUUUGUUUGUUUGUUUGUUUUACUGUAUAUUUGUAAUAUCCUUAUGUGACUAAUUUUUUACAUCUCCCUAAUUCAUGUCCAUAUUGUUCUACCAGAGUCCCCAAAUUUUACUUUGGCUAAAUUUGAUGUCAGGAAAUUUCAAGAAAGCCAAAUAUCAUUUGAAUUGUAUUUUACCACUCCAAAAUUAAACACAACACUGUGACUAAGUAGAACAAAGUAGUUUUUUUUUUUUUUUUAACUUUUAGCCAUCUAUUCUUCUGCAUGUUUUUUUUUUUUUUUUUUCUGCAAUAUAUGUUCUGCCUAAUGCUUACCUAUCUCUCUGUUUGCUUUCUAUCUCUGCUCUUUGGGGCUGGGUUUCUCCCUAUUAGCUUUCUCCAAGCCCUACACCUGCCACUCAGAGUCCCAAGAAACCUCCAGCAAAGGACCCAUUAGCGGAUCUUAACAUCAAGGAUUUCUUGUAAACAAUUUAAGGUAUCUUCUAUUGAGAUUUUCCUGUGGACUUUUAAUAAUGAGCUAUACAGUGCUUGGCUAUUUCAGAUAUGAUAUUUGUUCUUUAUGUGUUUUGAGUGGAUGUGUAUAAUGAUAACUCAAAUGUUUCAAGUUUUAAAAUUGAUAUUAAAAGCUAUCAUUAUUAAUGAUUUUUUUAAAAAAAAUUUACUUAUAAAACUAGGAGGAAGAGACCACACCUGUAAUUAGUGGCAUAUACCUGUAAUCUCAGGAAGCUGAGGCAGGAGGAUAGAAAGCUUGAGGCCAGCCUGGGCAACUUAGCAAGACCCUGUCUCAAAAAUAAAAGAUAAUAUUUUUUUAAUGGAUGGGAGAUGUAGCUCAAUGUUACAGCACUCCUGAGUUCAGUCCCUAGUACCACAAAAGAAAGAAAAACUAGGAGGGAGAGAAACCUCCAAGUUGUCCUUAUCCUGAAAAUCACAAAGAUUAUACUGAUAAAAUACAAAAGUUGCCCAAACUUCUUGAUAAAUUAGAAGAUUAAUGCUUUAUUCCAUGACUGAAAUUAAUAGAAAGCUAAUAUUUGUAAUAUUAAUUUCUAACAAUCUAGUUUUAAGUCUCAUCAAUUUCAUUAAAAGUGACUCAUUGUGAAUUUAUGGAAGGAAGCUUAUGAAGGAAUAAUGUUUACUGUUAACCCUGCACCUAAUGGUGGGUAGGUUCUUAGCAAAUAUUUUGCUCAAUUAAACUGCUUUUCUUUUACAUAGUAUUUUUCAUAUCUACUUCCCAGUCAUUAAUAUCUUUGAACUUCUCAGUAGGAGAUGAAACUCUGUGCAGUAAACUACCCAGAAUUAAUUUUUUAUAUAGCUAGAAGAACUGAUUCUUGAUAAUUGAGUGAUUUACUCAGGGUCUGGCAAAAAGAACAGUAAGAAGGUGGAAGCUUUUGGACCACUAUCCAGUGGUACUUUCAUUAUACAUCUACUGCCUAUGUAUAUUAAAAACUCCCUCUAAUGCCUACUGAGAUUUCUGUGGAAUUCUGCUUUGUAAUCAUUUUUCUUAUAUACCAAUAGGAUUAAUAACAUGUCACUUUAAUAUCUCAGUCAAGUCAUUUCUCCUCAGGCACACUUUUCCACUUUGGAUUGGGUUGAUUAGACUUAAGUAGAUGUUGGUAUAAGUAAGACAAGGAGCACUUAUUUCAUAGCAAUUAGUUUCAGGAGUAAUCGAGAAAACAGCCUUGAGUAGCCUUUUAUCACCACUUGUUAAGUAAAUAUUGCUGUCAUCACAUGCCUGGAACUUCAGUGAGUAUCAGAAGAAGAAAUGCCUGAGAGAGUCUCUGCCCUCAGGGAUUCACAGCCCAGAGAGAGGCAGACACAGAGGAUUCUAUGAGUUCUAGCUAAGCCUUAAGACCCCAGGAAAGGUUUCUUGGCAGAAAUGACUGAUGAACAAAGUGGAAAGUGGUGUGAGAGAAGAAAUUGGGUCACCAGGGAUAGCUCCCUUCUCUCCUGUUCUGUCACUUGUUCAACUGUUCAGUGAGUGACUCAUUGAACACCAUAAUGAAAUAGAAGCAAAAAAUAAUGGAAGUCACUGCCAUUCCAAUGUUUUAUUUUCACUCUUCUAUUUUAAAGGUUAGCUAUUCUUAAUUUAUCCUGUCUUAUAAUUAAGAUUGCUAAUAAGUAUCUAAAGCUCAAGUUUCUGUUGAUGUGAUCUUUGUUUAAAAUGAAACUGUGCAUGGAAAAAUUGAUUGUUUUUAAGUUUCCUGACUGAAAUUUUAAGCUUAUUUUAAGGAACUUUGAAAAAUACAUAAAUGUGAAUGUGUUAAUAUAGAAACCUUUGGUAUAAAGCUCUUUUAUAGUAACUAUGAAGUAAAAUUGCAGAGGACAUAAAAUGUUUAAGGGAGGCAUGAUAGUCUGUUUUCUAACUGAAGUACUUUUUUCUUCACAGCUGCAAUUUUUGUGACUGAAUAGGAAAAAUAAUGAGUUUGGAGACUUCAAAUAAGAUUGAUGCUCAGAGUUUCAAAGUGAGCCACCAGUACCAAACCCAAUGCUUACUCAUAACUUCUCUUCCAAAAUGUGUAGCACAGCUGUGAAAGUGAACGUUAGGAAUGUGUACUACUUUAGCUGUUAUCCCUACUCUCAAAAUUGUAGUGUAUUUGGGUUAUUUGUGUGUUGUAUGAUGUAAACAAUGAAUGGAUGUUUCCGAUGCCUAUAGUGCUUUUCUGGACCUUGCCCAUGGAUGGAUGAUGCAGCUGUUGUAUGGUGAGCCAUUUGGAAAGAUGUGUCUGUGUUUUCGAAGGUUUCAAUGUAUAUAUAACUUUUGGACAAACCCUAAACUCUUCCCAUAAAUUCUCUUUUCUUCUGUAUCUCUGUUACAAGCGUAAUGUGAUAAUAUCUGAUAGUAAGGAAAACACUCUUAAAUAUACAAAACUUUUUUCCGUGUGAAGUACAUUUUUCCAAUCACAGAAACUUCAACUGUUGUGAGAAAUGUUUAUUUUUGUGGCACUGUAUAUGUUAAGAAAUUUUAUUUUAAAAAAUAUAAAGGUUAACGUCCAUAAUAAAUACUUCUCCUUGAAGCUACCUUAUCAAGAAUGAAAAAUCAUAUGGGAAGAAUUCCAUAUUUAUCACUGCUAUAUUAAAAUAUAUAUUUUAAUUAUAUUUGCAGGUUUUGCAUCUAAAUUGACCUAUUUAUUCAUUCUUGAUUAAAUGCACUGAAAAGUAAAGCGUCCGUUUCUAUCACGUCUGUGAAAAUGCAAUUAGAAAUGUGCUAUUUACGUGAUUAUGAAAGCACCCCAAGGUAUAUCUGUAAUUUAAAGAUUACUGCAAAUGUUUUUACUUUACUGUGGGUUUUAUGUACAUCUGUUCAUUUAGUAUUUCUUUGUGUGUUCUAUAGGCUAGUGUUUUUCCAUCCUUCAACUGAGCUCAAACUAGGUUUUGUUGUACCAUUGUGAUUAGGAUUUAAACUUAUUCAGAGAAUUGUAUCCUUUACUGUACAUACUGUAUUCUUUAAUUUUUAAUUUGUUGUCAUACUGUCUGUGCUGAUGGCUUGGCUUAAGAUUUUGAUGCACACAUGAGGUCACUGUUGAUCAGUGUUGCUAGUGGCUUGGCAGCUCUUUGUAAAAGCAUAUUGGGUUGGAAAGGCAUUUGCCUAUUUUUCAAAUUAUUUAAUAGAUGUAUGGUACCAUUUAAAAGUGGUUGUAUCUGAAUUUACUGUGGGGAUAACAUACACUGUAAUGGGGAAAAAUUACCUAAAACCAAUUUCAAAAUGGCUUUUCUUUGUAUUUUGGUUUAAAAACCCAGUGCAUGUACGCCCUCUGAGAUGCAAUAAACACCUUGAACAAAGAAAAUGCAAACAUAACCUUUCU
Molecule: long non-coding RNA, 7635 nt
Filed under: Marmota monax (woodchuck)
Lineage: Eukaryota; Metazoa; Chordata; Mammalia; Rodentia; Sciuridae
Source: RNAcentral